AACGAAAGCUGGCGGCAGGCUUAACACAUGCCAGUCGAGCGAGACCUUCGGGUCUAGCGGCGGACGGGUGAGUAACGCGUGGGAACGUGCCCUUCUCUACGGAAUAGCCCCGGGAAACUGGGAGUAAUACCGUAUACGCCCUUUGGGGGAAAGAUUUAUCGGAGAAGGAUCGGCCCGCGUUGGAUUAGGUAGUUGGUGGGGUAAUGGCCCACCAAGCCGACGAUCCAUAGCUGGUUUGAGAGGAUGAUCAGCCACACUGGGACUGAGACACGGCCCAGACUCCUACGGGAGGCAGCAGUGGGGAAUCUUAGACAAUGGGGGCAACCCUGAUCUAGCCAUGCCGCGUGAGUGAUGAAGGCCUUAGGGUUGUAAAGCUCUUUCAGCUGGGAAGAUAAUGACGGUACCAGCAGAAGAAGCCCCGGCUAACUCCGUG
Molecule: ribosomal RNA, 433 nt
Filed under: uncultured bacterium
Lineage: Bacteria
Description: partial 16S ribosomal RNA
Rfam family: Bacterial small subunit ribosomal RNA
Source: RNAcentral